UGAAAUUGUUAUAUGUAUUUUAUUAAUAAGAAGUACAUGUUACUUUUAUUUUAAGAAUUACAUGGAUUAUUUAUCCCGACUAUAUGAAAGAGAAAUCAAAGAUUUCUUUGAAGUUGCAAAGAUCAAGAUGACUGGCACAACUAAAGAAAGCAAGAAGUUUGGUCUUCAUGGAAGUUCGGGGAAAUUAACUGGAUCUACUUCUAGUCUAAAUAAGCUCAGUGUUCAGAGUUCAGGGAAUCGCAGAUCUCAGUCAUCUUCCCUGUUGGAUAUGGGAAACAUGUCUGCCUCUGAUCUCGAUGUUGCCGACAGGACCAAAUUUGAUAAGAUCUUUGAACAGGUACUAAGUGAACUGGAGCCCCUAUGUCUGGCAGAACAGGACUUCAUAAGUAAAUUUUUCAAACUACAGCAACAUCAAAGUAUGCCUGGAACUAUGGCUGAAGCAGAGGACCUGGAUGGAGGAACAUUAUCACGGCAACAUAAUUGUGGCACACCACUGCCUGUUUCAUCUGAGAAAGAUAUGAUCCGCCAAAUGAUGAUUAAAAUAUUUCGCUGCAUUGAGCCAGAGCUGAACAACCUAAUUGCAUUA
RNAcentral lists this small RNA (586 nucleotides) under Pan troglodytes (chimpanzee). RNAcentral's name for it is "retained intron". Lineage: Eukaryota; Metazoa; Chordata; Mammalia; Primates; Hominidae. The record is from RNAcentral.